This 462-nucleotide ribosomal RNA is filed under the name uncultured bacterium. RNAcentral's name for it is "bacterial SSU rRNA". It matches the Rfam family "Bacterial small subunit ribosomal RNA", at positions 917 to 1382 of the family's 1533-position model. The record is from RNAcentral.
GGGCCCGCACAAGCGGUGGAGCAUGUGGUUUAAUUCGAAGCAACGCGAAGAACCUUACCAGGUCUUGACAUCCCUUGACAGCCACAGAGAUGUGGUCUCUCUUCGGAGCAAGGAGACAGGUGGUGCAUGGUUGUCGUCAGCUCGUGUCGUGAGAUGUUGGGUUAAGUCCCGCAACGAGCGCAACCCUUGCCUUUAGUUGCCAGCAUUAAGUUGGGCACUCUAAAGGGACUGCCGGUGACAAAUCGGAGGAAGGUGGGGAUGACGUCAAAUCAUCAUGCCCCUUAUGACCUGGGCUACACACGUGCUACAAUGGUCUGUACAGAGGGCAGCGAAGCAGUGAUGCGGAGCGAAUCCCAGAAAGCAGAUCUCAGUUCGGAUUGCAGGCUGCAACUCGCCUGCAUGAAGUCGGAAUCGCUAGUAAUCGCAGGUCAGCAUACUGCGGUGAAUACGUUCCCGGGCCUU